ACAUGGUGUUCUGCUCGGAUUGUUUGAUUUAUUAUGUUUGUCUAAAUGCUUUUUUAAUUUUCUC
This 64-nucleotide ribosomal RNA is filed under the name Pieris rapae (cabbage white). Its description in RNAcentral is "partial 5.8S ribosomal RNA". The record is from RNAcentral. Lineage: Eukaryota; Metazoa; Arthropoda; Insecta; Lepidoptera; Pieridae.